RNAcentral lists this ribosomal RNA (497 nucleotides) under uncultured bacterium. RNAcentral describes it as "bacterial SSU rRNA". It matches the Rfam family "Bacterial small subunit ribosomal RNA", at positions 899 to 1397 of the family's 1533-position model. The record is from RNAcentral.
ACUCAAAGGAAUAGACGGGGACCCGCACAAGCGGUGGAGCAUGUGGAUUAAUUCGAGGCAACGCGAAGAACCUUACCAAGGCUUGACAUGGAGACGAAAGGCUUAGAAAUAAGCCCUCCCUACGGGGCGGCUCACACAGGUGGUGCAUGGUUGUCGUCAGCUCGUGUCGUGAGAUGUUGGGUUAAGUCCCGCAACGAGCGCAACCCUUAUGUUUAGUAGCCAGCGGGUAAAGCCGGGCACACUAGAGAUACUGCCGUGGAAACACGGAGGAAGGCGGGGAUGAGGUCAAAUCAUCAUGCCCCUUAUGUCUUGGGCGUCACACGUGCUACAAUGGUUCGAACAAAGUGAAGCAAUGCAGUGAUGCGGAGCAAAACACAAAAACGGGCCCCAGUUCGGAUUGCAGGCUGCAACCCGCCUGCAUGAAGUUGGAAUCGCUAGUAAUCGCGAAUCAGCAUGUCGCGGUGAAUACGUUCCCGGGUCUUGCACACACCGCCCGU